Long non-coding RNA from Panicum virgatum (switchgrass), 2428 nucleotides. RefSeq lists it as uncharacterized. The transcript is spliced from 2 exons. The record is from RefSeq and is a predicted model, not a curated record. Lineage: Eukaryota; Viridiplantae; Streptophyta; Magnoliopsida; Poales; Poaceae.
UUCUGUCAUAAAGAAGAUAGCAGUAUUUAGCUGACGGGGUAUUCUUGAAUGGCAGGUUGGAUAGAUAAUUCAUAAAGUAUAGAACACACAACAGAAAACACGCAUUGAAGGCUCUAAAUCUGCUGCAGCUAUGGCAGAACAUUUCAGUAUUAUCUGUUUGCAGAACAAGAGGGUGUUCAAUUGAGUAUAUUAAUCUAUUUGGCUACUAGCAUUUUGAAACUAAAUUGUGAUGUGACGCCUCCUGCUAAAAGUAUGUCUGCAAAAUGGUGUCAAUAUGGAAGUCUUCUCAAGGGUGAUUUAUAUGGACUAAUUUAUGAAGGCGCGGCUCUAGACUGGAUAGUUUCCUCAUGGUUGAGUGUGCAAAGAUUUUGCGAGUGCAAUACUGUGGUUUUUGUUGUAUCCAUACUUCUACCAGGGUCCUGUUUAGAAUCUUUCUACUGUGGAAAUUGUAAUGUUUCCAUUCGAACCCCGCAAAAUUUGUGUCUACAUACACCCUGAAUUGGCACUGUGAUGGCUCAGUCAUGACAAUACUGAAUGUAGAUAGAAUUAUACUUUCGAUGAGAUUGUACUAUUUCUUAUAUUUUACCUACUAGUAUAAAAAAUGCCCUAAUUUAAGCAGUAUAGGCAAUUCACUAUAUACAAGGUAUAGUUAGAUCUUGAUUUUUGAACUAUUAUGCAAUAAUGUGUUUUAAUCUGUUUGAUGAUGUGGUAUUCAAUUAGCUCAUUUUUUUAAACUCAAGUUUAGCUACAAAUAAUUAAUCAUAUACACUAUCCUUAGUUUAGUGGCCACAUGUAAUGCAGAGAUCUCAAUGGGCCUGAAACUAUUUGAAUAUUUGGUAGUCCAGAACCCUUGUUUAAUCAAGGAAUCUCAAUAAUCUAAGUGCCAAAUAUUCAUCUACAGUGCACCGAAUUUUUACUUGAGGGCACUAUUCCCUAUCAUGUAUCCAUGGUAUCAGCAUUUAAGCACAAUGCAGAAGGAUGUUCUUUCAGAACUUCAAAUGGAUAUCCUGAGCAUCACUGUAUUGUUACAGCUUGCAAAUCGGUGAAUAAAAGGAGUAACACAACUGAUUGUUAAGAGUACUUAACAGUCCAAGUUACAAAAGCAGAAUUCAUAAUCGACUGGCCGAGCCAGUCAGCAAAUGCAAGAACAAAGAAGCAGGCAAGCAGCAACCGCUUAUUAGAAAGACGAUUUUUGAAUUUUUGAUGCAUGCAAACUUUUUUUCUGGAACACAGAUGCAUGCAACUCAUUCAGUCAUAUCCAUACCUCGAGGAGGACUUGGAAGGACAGGAGCUGCUGGUCGCGUUCCUGGAGGAGGACGGCGAGGACGCGGCGCUCCCUCAUCUUGUGCAGGAUGCCGACGCUCACUGCGGCGGCGCCGAUCGCCAGCAGCACGAGCAGCAGGAUCUUGUGCUGCUUACUGCAGGAUGGGACAACUGCUCUGGCAGCAGUGUGAAGAAACUGGAGCUUCCUUUUUCCAGUUGCUUCGAUUCUGGAAAGGGGAGUGAACUUGCUUAGGAAUGGAGGAACAGACACUAGGAGGCUCCAAGUCUGAGGGCUAGUGUACAUUGUGUAUGGUUCACUUGCUCCAAGGUGAGGCACAUGGUUCAUUUCACUCUAGUUGACUUGUUUGAGCCUUUGAGGGGUAUAAAGCCUGGCUCUCUUUGACUUUUGCUGGUUAUCGUGAGACGUAGGCAAUAUUAACUACGAUGCUUGCAUUUGCUUCUUGAUCUCACAUUAAAGGUAUCUUUGAUCACAAGUUUAUUCGCAGACACAAGCACAGCUCUGCCAUGAAGUCUAACUCUGCAUUCCAUGGGUUUAUUUGGAUGCGUUCGGGAGCCAGGCAGCAAUCCGCACGAGGAUGCCAUGGCAGUUCUCGACUCCAAGACUGAAACUCGAAGCUGCAGCAUCGUGUCGCUGGGUCUAGAUUCUAGAACACCAACGCAGCCAAUUUGAGCAUUGUUCGUUCAGCUUGAACGACGACGAUGUUGUCUACCUCGUAGCCAAGGUUGGGCCACGGGACAAAAGGGCAUGUGUGCUCGCUGUUGACUUCAAAAACAAGAGGCCACAAUAUGUGGGCGCAUCACUCUGAAAAACUGUGCUACAUGGACAGUAAUAUAUCCAAGUUUUUUUUUGUUACAACACUAGGUAAUUACUAUUCCUAAGCAUAGCAGCGUGCAUGUAUCUAUCUCUGAUUGCAUUUACAAAUACUUUCUUGGCCUACAUUUUUGUAGAAAGGAAACUAGUAAAGUAAAAGGGUAUCUUGUUAUGUUGCUUCAUGGCCAAUGUUUAGAAAAAAAAAGGGCAAAUUGCAUAUUUGCCACUAUUUUGAACUCCAAACUGGAAUCUGCCAUUAAAGAAACGUAGACUUGCAAAAUUGCCACCCAACCGUCCAAGUAUCUUUUCCAUCUGCCACUGCUUCCCUUCAAC